CACUUGUGGAACUCCUUUGUGAGGAAGCAACGUGUCCUGGCAGAUGGUCAUAUUCCUUGGGCAUGCGAGGCUUUCUCAAGAUUACAUGGGCAUGAUCUUGCCCGAGCCCCAGCCCUACUUUGGUGUUGGAGAUUAUUUAUGAUCAAACUAUGGAAUCAUGGUCUCCUAGAUGGCCGCACUAUGAAUAAGUGUAAUAUUACUCUGGAGCAAUACCAAAAGCAGGUCCCAGAUCCUAUGAAAAGCUAAGAGAGAUGAUACAUUUUUGUUGGCAAUCAUUGAAUACAAAAGCAAAG
Molecule: unclassified non-coding RNA, 293 nt
Filed under: Hevea brasiliensis (rubber tree)
Lineage: Eukaryota; Viridiplantae; Streptophyta; Magnoliopsida; Malpighiales; Euphorbiaceae
Source: RNAcentral